CGAACGCUGGCGGCAGGCUUAACACAUGCAAGUCGAACGGAACAUAGAGUGCUUGCACUUUAUGUCAGUGGCGCACGGGUGAGUAACGCGUAGGUAUCUGUCUGUUGGACGGGGAUAGCCUCUGGAAACGGAGGGUAAAACCCGGUAAGACCUGAGGGUGAGACGAGAAAUCGGCCGACAGAGGAGCCUGCGUUAGAUUAGGCAGUUGGUGGGGUAACGGCCUACCAAACCGACGAUCUAUAGCUGGUCUGAGAGGAUGAUCAGCCACAUUGGGACUGAGACACGGCCCAAACUCCUACGGGAGGCAGCAGUGGGGAAUAUUGGACAAUGGGGGAGACCCUGAUUCCCAGCCAUGCCGCGUGAGUGAAGAAGGCCUUCGGGUUGUAAAGCUCUUUUACACGGGAAGAUGAUGACGGUACCGUGAGAAUAAGCACCGGCUAACUUCGUGCCAGCAGCCGC
Molecule: ribosomal RNA, 459 nt
Filed under: uncultured bacterium
Lineage: Bacteria
Description: bacterial SSU rRNA
Rfam family: Bacterial small subunit ribosomal RNA
Source: RNAcentral